CUAGGGGCUGAGUAAUGCGUGACCGACCCAUGCCCCAUACACCGGAGUUAUAGCUCCUGGAAACGCGGUGGUAAUGCCGGAUGCUCCAGUUGAUCGCAUGGUCUUCUGGGACGGCUUUCGCGGUAUGGGAUGGGGUCGCGUCCUAUCAGCUUGACGGCGGGGUAACGGCCCACCGUGGCUUCGACGGGUAGCCGGCCUGAGAGGGGCGACCGGCCACAUUGGGCUACUGAGAUACGGCCCAGACUCCUACGGGAGGCAGCAGUGGGAUAUUGCACAAUGGGCGCAAGCCUGAUGCAGCGACGCCGCGUGAGGGAUGGAGGCCUUCCGGGUUGUAAACCUCUUUUAUCGGGGAGCAAGCGAGAGUGAGGGUACCCGUUGAAUAAGCACCGGCUAACUACCCGUGCCAGCAGCCGCGGUAAUACGUAGGGUGAGGCCGUUAUCCGGAAUUAUUGGCCGUAGAAGGGCUCGUAGGCGGUUCGUCGCGUCCGGUGUGAAAGUCCGCUUAACGGUGCAUCCGCGCCGGGUACGGGCGGGCUUGAGUGCGGUAGGGGAGACUGGAAUUCCCGGUGUAACGGUGGAAUGAAUUGUAGAUAUCGGGAAGAACACCAAUGGCGAAGGCAGGUCUCUGGGCCGUUACUGAUGAGCCCUA
This 649-nucleotide ribosomal RNA is filed under the name Bifidobacterium sp. Its description in RNAcentral is "bacterial SSU rRNA". It matches the Rfam family "Bacterial small subunit ribosomal RNA", at positions 99 to 750 of the family's 1533-position model. The record is from RNAcentral. Lineage: Bacteria; Bacillati; Actinomycetota; Actinomycetes; Bifidobacteriales; Bifidobacteriaceae.